RNAcentral lists this ribosomal RNA (253 nucleotides) under uncultured bacterium. RNAcentral's name for it is "partial 16S ribosomal RNA". It matches the Rfam family "Bacterial small subunit ribosomal RNA", at positions 524 to 776 of the family's 1533-position model. The record is from RNAcentral.
UACGUAGGGUGCGAGCGUUGUCCGGAAUUAUUGGGCGUAAAGAGCUCGUAGGCGGCUUGUCGCGUCGGAUGUGAAAGCCCGGGGCUUAACUCCGGGUCUGCAUUCGAUACGGGCAGGCUAGAGUGUGGUAGGGGAGAUCGGAAUUCCUGGUGUAGCGGUGAAAUGCGCAGAUAUCAGGAGGAACACCGGUGGCGAAGGCGGAUCUCUGGGCAAUUACUAACGCUGAGGAGCGAAAGCGUGGGGAGCGAACAGG